GAGGAAUAUUGGUCAAUGGGCGAGAGCCUGAACCAGCCAAGUAGCGUGCAGGAUGACGGCCCUAUGGGUUGUAAACUGCUUUUGUAUGGGGAUAAAGUCAAUCACGUGUGAUUGUUUGCAGGUACCAUACGAAUAAGGACCGGCUAAUUCCGUGCCAGCAGCCGCGGUAAUACGGAAGGUCCGGGCGUUAUCCGGAUUUAUUGGGUUUAAAGGGAGCGUAGGCUGGAGAUUAAGUGUGUUGUGAAAUGUAGACGCUCAACGUCCGACUUGCAGCGCAUACUGGUUUCCUUGAGUACGCACAACGUUGGCGGAAUUCGUCGUGUAGCGGUGAAAUGCUUAGAUAUGACGAAGAACUCCGAUUGCGAAGGCAGCUGACGGGAGCGCAACUGACGCUGAAGCUCGAAGGUGCGGGUAUCGAACAGGAUUAGAUACCCUGGUAGUCCGCACAGUAAACGAUGGAUGCCCGCUGUUGGUACUUGGUAUCAGCGGCUAAGCGAAAGCAUUAAGCAUCCCACCUGGGGAGUACGCCGGCAACGGUG
Molecule: ribosomal RNA, 539 nt
Filed under: uncultured bacterium
Lineage: Bacteria
Description: bacterial SSU rRNA
Rfam family: Bacterial small subunit ribosomal RNA
Source: RNAcentral